This 478-nucleotide ribosomal RNA is filed under the name uncultured bacterium. Its description in RNAcentral is "bacterial SSU rRNA". It matches the Rfam family "Bacterial small subunit ribosomal RNA", at positions 26 to 518 of the family's 1533-position model. The record is from RNAcentral.
CGAGGACGAACGCUGGCGGCGUGCCUAACACAUGCAAGUCGAACGGAGUCAAGAAGCUUGCUUUUGACUUAGUGGCGGACGGGUGAGUAACGCGUGAGUAACCUGCCUCUGAGAGGGGAAUAACGUUCUGAAAAGAACGCUAAUACCGCAUAACGUAUCGAAGCCGCAUGACUUUGAUACCAAAGAUUUUAUCGCUCGGAGAUGGACUCGCGUCCGAUUAGUUAGUUGGUGAGGUAACGGCCCACCAAGACCGCGAUCGGUAGCCGGACUGAGAGGUUGAUCGGCCACAUUGGGACUGAGACACGGCCCAGACUCCUACGGGAGGCAGCAGUGGGGGAUAUUGCGCAAUGGGGGCAACCCUGACGCAGCAACGCCGCGUGAAGGAUGAAGGUUUUCGGACUGUAAACUUCUUUUAUCAGGGACGAAGCUUGACGGUACCUGAUGAAUAAGCUCCGGCUAACUACGUGCCAGCCGCUGC